GAUGAAGAACGUAUCGAAAUGCGAUAAGUAGUGUGAAUUGCAGAAUUCAGUGAAUCAUCGAAUCUUUGAACGCACAUUGCGCCCUUUGGUAUUCCAAAGGGCAUGCCUGUUCGAGCGUCAUUUGUACCCUCAAGCUUUGCUUGGUGUUGGGCGUCUUGUCUCUAGCUUUGCUGGAGACUCGCCUUAAAGUAAUUGGCAGCCGGCCUACUGGUUUCGGAGCGCAGCACAAGUCGCACUCUCUAUCAGCAAAGGUCUAGCAUCCAUUAAGCCUUUUUUUCAACUUUUGACCUCGGAUCAGGUAGGGAUACCCGCUGAACUUAAGCAUAUCAAUAAGCGGAGGA
RNAcentral lists this unclassified non-coding RNA (341 nucleotides) under soil metagenome. RNAcentral's name for it is "partial contains 5.8S ribosomal RNA, internal transcribed spacer 2, and large subunit ribosomal RNA". The stretch from base 1 to 120 matches the Rfam family "5.8S ribosomal RNA", at positions 35 to 154 of the family's 154-position model. The record is from RNAcentral.